Long non-coding RNA from Vidua chalybeata, 284 nucleotides. RefSeq lists it as uncharacterized. NCBI's taxonomy places the organism in Eukaryota, Metazoa, Chordata, Aves, Passeriformes, Viduidae. The transcript has 3 exons. The record is from RefSeq and is a predicted model, not a curated record.
GGAUCACAGAGAAAGGCCACAGCUGAAGCCUUUUUGAUUGAUUGAUUGAUUGAUUGAUUGAAUCAAGAGUAUACAAGAAUCAAGAGUAGGACAGGAUGAGCAGUUGCUAAAGCAUUUGCUUUUAAAAAAAUAAGCUAAGAGUCAGCCUAUCUGGAAUAUAUUUUUCAAAAGUUUGGAAUUCUUCCAUUAGUAUAACCCUGAAAUGGCUUCACUAACAUGCUGGUGGGACAGAUCUGCAAAUGGCUGGAAUCUGGACCAUCCAGAGGCUUUGGAAUUGUCUUCAG